GGGAAUAUAGUUAAAAAUAACAUCUAAUUUGCAAUUAGAAAGUACUGUAUAGUUUUUCUCG
RNAcentral lists this transfer RNA (61 nucleotides) under Nysius graminicola. Its description in RNAcentral is "tRNA-Ala". It matches the Rfam family "tRNA". From Rfam's summary of the family: Transfer RNA (tRNA) molecules are approximately 80 nucleotides in length. Their secondary structure includes four short double-helical elements and three loops (D, anti-codon, and T loops). Lineage: Eukaryota; Metazoa; Arthropoda; Insecta; Hemiptera; Lygaeidae. The record is from RNAcentral.